Molecule: ribosomal RNA, 253 nt
Filed under: uncultured bacterium
Lineage: Bacteria
Description: partial 16S ribosomal RNA
Rfam family: Bacterial small subunit ribosomal RNA
Source: RNAcentral
UACAGAGGGGGCAAGCGUUGUUCGGAAUUACUGGGCGUAAAGGGCGCGUAGGCGGCCGGCUAAGUCGAACGUGAAAUCCCCGGGCUCAACCCGGGAACUGCGUCCGAUACUGGUCGGCUUGAAUUCGGGAGAGGGAUGCGGAAUUCCAGGUGUAGCGGUGAAAUGCGUAGAUAUCUGGAGGAACACCGGUGGCGAAGGCGGCAUCCUGGACCGACAUUGACGCUGAGGAGCGAAAGCCAGGGGAGCAAACGGG